This 88-nucleotide transfer RNA is filed under the name Rhizobium phage RHph_TM21B. RNAcentral describes it as "tRNA-Cys". It matches the Rfam family "tRNA". Rfam says of the family: Transfer RNA (tRNA) molecules are approximately 80 nucleotides in length. Their secondary structure includes four short double-helical elements and three loops (D, anti-codon, and T loops). RNAcentral also lists the same sequence under 1 other name. The record is from RNAcentral. Lineage: Duplodnaviria; Heunggongvirae; Uroviricota; Caudoviricetes; Kleczkowskaviridae.
GACCCUGUGACGGAGUGGUUGAACGUGCCGGUCUGCAAAAUCGGUGGCAUGAAUUUGUCCGCGAGUUCGAAUCUCGCUAGGGUCUCCA